Molecule: ribosomal RNA, 465 nt
Filed under: Vreelandella stevensii
Lineage: Bacteria; Pseudomonadati; Pseudomonadota; Gammaproteobacteria; Oceanospirillales; Halomonadaceae
Description: partial 16S ribosomal RNA
Rfam family: Bacterial small subunit ribosomal RNA
Source: RNAcentral
CCUACGGGUGGCAGCAGUGGGGAAUAUUGGACAAUGGGCGAAAGCCUGAUCCAGCCAUGCCGCGUGUGUGAAGAAGGCCUUCGGGUUGUAAAGCACUUUCAGUGGGGAAGAAAGCCUUGGGGCUAAUACCCUCGAGGAAGGACAUCACCCACAGAAGAAGCACCGGCUAACUCCGUGCCAGCAGCCGCGGUAAUACGGAGGGUGCGAGCGUUAAUCGGAAUUACUGGGCGUAAAGCGCGCGUAGGCGGUCUGAUAAGCCGGUUGUGAAAGCCCCGGGCUCAACCUGGGAACGGCAUCCGGAACUGUCAGGCUAGAGUGCAGGAGAGGAAGGUAGAAUUCCCGGUGUAGCGGUGAAAUGCGUAGAGAUCGGGAGGAAUACCAGUGGCGAAGGCGGCCUUCUGGACUGACACUGACGCUGAGGUGCGAAAGCGUGGGUAGAAAACAGGAUUAGAUACCCGUGUAGUC